CAAUGCUAAUACAUAUGAUGAGAUAACAUGAGGGAUCUUAGGGUCAAAAUUAUGGUCUUACAUAUUCCUCUUCACACACAUAAUAUGGUGUCUAAAAGGUUAUAAAAUUUCAAAAGUUCACAGUGGUUAACUAUCACUAAUCAACAAUAUGACAAUCACAACCCUUUCAACAAAUUCAAACCAAGAGCAUAAAUUGUUCUUCAAAAAACCAAAAGAACAAAAUACAAACAAAUAAAAAAAAGAGAACGAAAAAAAUUUGAAAAAAAGAGGUCACCAAAAUCCUUAACGGAAAAACAUUAAGAGUAUGUAUCAUACCCUAAUUUUU
RNAcentral lists this long non-coding RNA (325 nucleotides) under Lathyrus oleraceus (garden pea). RNAcentral describes it as "Pisum sativum (pea) long non-coding RNA (PSAT_LNC016426)". Lineage: Eukaryota; Viridiplantae; Streptophyta; Magnoliopsida; Fabales; Fabaceae. The record is from RNAcentral.